Long non-coding RNA from Notolabrus celidotus (New Zealand spotty), 1122 nucleotides. RefSeq lists it as uncharacterized. The record is from RefSeq and is a predicted model, not a curated record. The transcript is spliced from 2 exons. NCBI's taxonomy places the organism in Eukaryota, Metazoa, Chordata, Actinopteri, Labriformes, Labridae.
AAUUAGUUUCACCUGUGUCUUUUUCUUGUCACACCUGUUUUGAUUACCCUGUGUGUAAUUAGUUUCCACCUCUUCAUGUCAGUUCAUUGAAUCUGUCUCCUGAGGCUUCCUCGUGAUUUUUGUGUUUUCGUUUGGACCUUUUUGGAUUUCGUUUAUGGAUAUUUUAUUGAUGAGAUGGUCCAGUUCUGCAGGAUGACCCACUUCAGGACCUCCAUGGUGGAUGGGGCCAGCAGUGAAGUUGGAGGUUUCCUCAUCAUCACAGUUCACAUUCUUACAAAUAGUCAUCAGCUCCAUGCCCUUCUUCACACUGCAAAGUAACCAUCACUGAGUCAAACAGACUGUUUCAGAGUUCACACACACUUACAGAAUCUGAACACACACUUACUGUGAGCUGUGUUCGAACCUGCCAACAAGGUGGCACAUGGUUAUGAAAGGGUGCUGGAGAAUUUCUGAUGGUGUGAGUCUCUCGGCACCGUCCACCUUUUAGAGUCUUUUUGAGUAGGUCCAUAAAGACCACAAGGUCGUAUAAAUAAGCCUGGAGAUCUUCUCCAGAGAGCCCAUGAGACACUUUGUACUGGAUCAGAAAGAAAGACAUGUUUAGUUUUUAUGUUUUUUUUAAAAAACAUUUUGUGAAGAUUUGACUUAUAGUGUUUUAAGUUAAAACUUGUUUUCAAAAGAGAGAUCCUACCGUCAGCAGGUCACUCAGCUUGGUGAGUGUGUGUGGGUAACCAUUAUAGUUUCUCGCCACAAGACUUGACUAAAGAGAGGAAUUCAUUUUUCAGUAAAUCUCAAACAUGAUGAAAGACUGACACAAAUACAAAUACACACAUUCGACAGAUACACACAUCAAAACUAAAUGAAAUCAAAGAAAUCUUACCGGAAAUACCCAGACAGGCUCUCCUUUGGCUGUGUGUGAACAAGUGUGAAAAUACUUGGUAUACUGUACAUGCCAGAGCACAUGUGUUGAGGAGCCUUUCCAAUAGUGUUAUAGAUGUGCCUUAUCUGUGGAUAACACACAAUGACCUGUCACACUUCUAUACACAUUUUAAAGGUUUUAUAAGAGAAGUUGUGUAAAAAAUUGGAAUGAGUUUUAAAUGGAAUAAUAUUCAAGUGUAACACUGA